This 1098-nucleotide long non-coding RNA is filed under the name Helianthus annuus (common sunflower). RNAcentral's name for it is "sRNA HanXRQr2_Chr01g0038111". Lineage: Eukaryota; Viridiplantae; Streptophyta; Magnoliopsida; Asterales; Asteraceae. The record is from RNAcentral.
AAAUUUUUAACUUUCUUUAUAAUCAUAUAAUGUGUGUUACAAAAAUUCCGUUGUAUAAAAAAUACUCUCAUUUUUUCAAUAAAUGAAUAAAAUCCAAUUACAUCUCUCCUAAGCAACCACUUGAUCGAGUUUUACAUUUUGCCUUGUAAGACAUUUACGGGUUUCUUCUUAAAGAGCCUAGAAUUUGGAAACCGAGCCUGAGUAGCAGGGGUAAGAGUGGGAGAAGAGAAGCAAACAACAAUAGCAGUGAGAUUAUCAGCCGAGUGAAGGCGUGAGGCUUGAGCAAUGAGCUCUUUAGCACAGCGUUGAGGGUCGUUAUGCUGCCUUAAUUGACACCGAACAAGAGCCACUGCUUCUUGGUUUGACAUGACAUCCCAUAUCCCAUCACAUGCAAUUAUCAUAAACUCAUCAUUAUCGGUCAACACCGUUUGUCUUACAUCUGGUUCAGCAAUCACCAACUUCUCCUUCUUCAUGUGCCAGUCUCCAAGCGCACGCGUCACACUUAGUUGACCGUUGAGAUACCCGUCUUCGUCAAAAUAGCCACCCAACCGCUCACAUCUUUCCUUUUCUUGUAAACAAGUCGACCCCCUGUGGUCUUGAGUCAUCUGUGUUGCAGACCCGUUCCUACAUAGGACUGCACGAGAGUCACCAGCAUUCGCUAUUAUAACAUGUCUUCCCACGAUCAAAACAGUUAAAGCUGUCGUCCCACAAUAGUCGCUCACACUGCAUUCAUCAGCUAAGGCUAAGUCAGCCUGUAAAAACGCUUUGUUAUGAGACUCUUCCACUUGUCUUAAGAACAAAUCAUCUGCAUCUGAAGCGCCAGUUGGUGCUGCUUGUGGUAGAUCGGAACCCUCAAAGAAUAACCUCAUGGCGUGUUCUUUAACAUAAGAUGCAGCCUCCGACCCGUUAUGGCCAUCAAAUAAAGCAUAGAAUGAACUCGCGAGACCCCAUUUGUAAGCAUCACCCAGAUGCUUUGACAGAUCAUCGAUCAUGAUAUGUUCGUCUUCAUUUAAUCUGCGUGAAACUCCUUGCAGUAGACUCCACAACGGUAUUACUCUUGAUAUUCACAGAGCAGCUUACAGCCUAAACAACAGAUAA